RNAcentral lists this long non-coding RNA (2274 nucleotides) under Sus scrofa (pig). RNAcentral's name for it is "lncRNA (ENSSSCG00050057324.1)". The record is from RNAcentral. Lineage: Eukaryota; Metazoa; Chordata; Mammalia; Artiodactyla; Suidae.
AUGGAAGUUCCCAGGCGGGGACUGAACUUGCACCUUCCCAGAGACCUGAGCUGCUACAGUCGGAUUCUUAACCCAUGGCUCCACAGCAGGAAUUCCGAAUACCUUAGUGUCUGCAUUGGUGCACGAACAGAACACAUAAAAGAAAAUCAGCAAUGGACUACAGAAGAUAAAACAAAAAACACAAUUUGGCCAUUUGCAGCUAAGGUUUUUCACCAGUUCUACAAUGAAGAGGAGGUGGAAGUAACUGUCAGUAACUAUCAGAACCUUCUACAUAUCAUUCAUGGUUUGUUGCAUACAGACGUGCUUGUGUUGAUGGUAUGGGAACUCUUUUACACUAUGGGUUUUAGCCACUUGGUUAGCUGUUCUGCUGUCUUCAUGAUGUCUUGCUCUGGGGCAGCCUUCACAUUCCACCUAAAUAUGUGGAUCUAGUGGGACCUGCCAGGAACAGUUAAAAUUCUAGGUCCCAGAUGGCUUAUUUACACCCUUUCUAUUCCACCAAGGGCUUGAGGAAUGAUACCAUACAUGAAUGAUACAGUAUAACAAAAUAGAAAAAAUAAAAAUAAAAAAAGAGAUAUCCACCAGAGUUCCUGUUGUGGCGCAGCAGAAAGGAAUCUAACUAGUAUCCAUGAGGAUGUAGUUUCGAUCUCUGGACUCACUCAGUAGGUAGGGGAUCCUGCAUUGUCAUGAGCUGUGACUGCAUUGUCAUGAGCAGUGGUGUAGACUGCAGAUGCUGCUCGGAUGCUUGGAUCCCAUGCUGCUGUGGCUGUGGCAUAGGCCAGCAGCUCUAGCUCCGAUUCAACCCCAGCUGGGAAUUUCUGUAUGUCAUGGGUGUGGCCCUAAAAAGCAAAAAAAUAAAAAUAAAAGAGAGAGCGAGAGAGACACAUGUGACUGGUAAUAAGCCACAGUACUAAACAGAAUAUUAACAUAUCCAGAAGAUUUAAAUAAAUAUUAAGAUACAAUGCUGAUGAUAAAGUAUCAUUGUGAAGUAAUUUGUUUCUUGAUGUGAUGCAGAGUUUGCUUAAUUUUUUUGCAUUUCCUCGCCUAGAGUCUAAUUUUUGUUCUGGAUACCAAAGAUUACUUAUUUUCUUUGUCCUGAACUAUUAUUUUGAGAUAAUAUUUUAUUUUGGGGGGUCUUUUUAUCUUUUUAGGGCUGCACCCAAGGCAUAUAUAAAUAUAUAAUACAUUUGUAAUACAGGUAUAACAUAUAAAACAUUGUAGGAAGUCACAAUAUAUAGAAAAUUAUAAGAAAGAAAAUAAUAUUUAAAAUUACCCAUAUGGAAUUCCUGUUGGCACAGCGGAAACGAAUCUGACUAGGAACCACGAGGUUGAGGGUUUGAUCCAUGGCCUUGCCCAGUGGGUUAAGGAUCUGGCGUUGCUGUGAGCUGUGGUGUAGGUCGUAGAUGCAGCUCGGAUCCCAAGUUGCUGUAGCUGUGGUGAAGGCCAGUGGCUACAGCUCAGAUUGGACCCCUUACCUGGGAACCUCCAUAUGCCGAGGAUGUGGCCCUAAAUAGACAAAAGAGAAAAAAAAAUUACCCUUAAUCCCCUCUCUUCCUAAAUCAAAAUCAGGAGCAAUAAAAAUAGAAGAGGAAUAUUUUACUGCUCCAGAAUGUGAACAAAGCUUUUUGGGAACACAGAAGACAAGGCAGGAAUGCUGACCUGGGAACUGGAGAAUGCUUAACCUAGCAGGUAACAAUUAGGCUGGAGUUUGAAAAAAGAAUAGAUUGCCUGGCGAAGGGGCAAGGAAUGGCAUUGACCUUAAAAGAAAUAAUCUUCAGAAAAUUACAGAGCUCCUCCCACCCACCCCACCCCCUGCCUUUUCUUUCUAGUUAGAAAGUAAAAUUUGGAAACAGGCCUGGAUUGUUCAGCAAAGUGUAAGAGGCUCAAUAUGUCUGGACUCUAGGAGAUAAAAAAGGUGGGUAGAGCUGGAACUGUUGUGAAAGACCUAUGUUCACAAAGCUAUAGAAUUGUCCUUAGCACGAAGUUCCCAUCGUGGCUCAGUGGUUAAUGAAUCCAACUAGGAACCAUGAGGUUGUGGGUUCGAUCCCUGCCCUUGCUCAGUGGGUUAAGGAUUUGGCGUUGCUGUGAGCUGUGGUGUAGAUCGAAGAUGCGGCUCCGAUCCUGCAUGGCGUGGCUGUGGCUGUGGCUGUGACUGUGGUGUAGGUUGGUGGCUACAGCUCUGAUUAGACCCCUAGCCUGGGGACCUCCAUAUGCCUCCGGUGAGGCCCUAAAAAGGCAAAAGACAAAGACAAAAAAGGCAAAAAAAAAAAAAAAAAA